Molecule: ribosomal RNA, 809 nt
Filed under: uncultured bacterium
Lineage: Bacteria
Description: bacterial SSU rRNA
Rfam family: Bacterial small subunit ribosomal RNA
Source: RNAcentral
AGAGUUUGAUCAUGGCUCAGGAUGAACGCUGGCGGCGUGGAUAAGGCAUGCAAGUCGAACGAAAAAGCCCACUGAAGUAUGAAUGGAGAUUGAGAUUACAUCAAGGUCAAAGUAAGUAUGGAUGCGGAUCGCUUUUUAGUGGCGAACGAGGUAGUAAUACAUAGGAACACCCCCCUUAGUCGUGAAUAAUUCGGCGAAAGCCGGACUAAUACACGAUGGUCCCGCAAGGGUAAAGUUUUAACGCUAAGGGAGUGGCCUGUGCGAUAUCAGCUAGUUGGUAGUGUAAUGGACUACCAAGGCUAUGACGUCUAGGGGAGGUGAGAGCCUGACCCCCACCGAUGGUACUGAGACACGGACCAUACACCUACGGGUGGCUGCAGUCGAGAAUCUUCCACAAUGGACGAAAGUCUGAUGGAGCGACGCCGCGUGAUUGAUGAAGUCCCUAUGGGACGUAAAGAUCUUUUAUGAGGGAAGAAGUUUAUUGACUGUACCUCAUGAAUAAGAGGCUCCUAAUCUCGUGCCAGCAGGAGCGGUAAUACGAGAGCCUCGAGCGUUAUCCGGAAUUAUUGGGCGUAAAGGGUGCGUAGGUUGCUGCGUUAGUCUUCUGUCAAAGCCCCGAGCUUAACUUGGGAUAUGCGGGGGAAACGGCGCAGCUUGAAAGUGCGAGAGGCGUACGGAACUCAUGGUGUAGGGGUGAAAUCCGUUGAUAUCAUGGGGAACACCAAAUGCGAAGGCAGUACGCUGGCGCAUAUUUGACACUGAAGCACGAAAGCGUGGGUAGCGAAUGGGAUUAGAUACCCCUGUAGUCC